UUCGCAAUGCCCGAAAGGGUGACGAAGCGACGCCGCGUGGGUGAGGAAGGCCCUCGGGUUGUAAAGCCCUGUCAGGAGUUAAGAAAUGUAAGUGCGCUAAUAUCGCAUUUAUUUGACGAAGGCUCCAAAGGAAGUCACGGCUAACUCUGUGCCAGCAGCCGCGGUAAUACAGAGGUGGCAAGCGUUGUUCGGAAUUAUUGGGCGUAAAGAGCACGUAGGUGGGUUUGUAAGUCAGAUGUGAAAGCCUUCUGUUCAACGGAAGAAUUGCAUCUGAAACUGCGAGUCUUGAGUGUAGGAGGGGAGAAUGGAACUUCUGGUGGAGCGGUGAAAUGCGUAGAUAUCAGAAGGAACGCCGGCGGCGAAAGCGAUUCUCUGGCCUAUUACUGACACUCAGUGUGCGAAAGCUAGGGGAGCAAACGGGAUUAGAUACCCCGGUAGUCCUAGCCGUAAACGAUGGGCACUAAGUAGAGGGGUUUU
RNAcentral lists this ribosomal RNA (477 nucleotides) under Candidatus Scalindua marina (nom. nud.). RNAcentral's name for it is "bacterial SSU rRNA". It matches the Rfam family "Bacterial small subunit ribosomal RNA", at positions 365 to 832 of the family's 1533-position model. The record is from RNAcentral. Lineage: Bacteria; Pseudomonadati; Planctomycetota; Candidatus Brocadiia; Candidatus Brocadiales; Candidatus Scalinduaceae.